Molecule: transfer RNA, 70 nt
Filed under: Phytophthora infestans (potato late blight agent)
Lineage: Eukaryota; Oomycota; Peronosporomycetes; Peronosporales; Peronosporaceae
Description: tRNA-Cys
Rfam family: tRNA
About the family: Transfer RNA (tRNA) molecules are approximately 80 nucleotides in length. Their secondary structure includes four short double-helical elements and three loops (D, anti-codon, and T loops).
Source: RNAcentral
GCGCGGGUAGCUCAGUGGUUAGAGCGUUCGAUUGCAGCUCGAAGGUCACUGGUUCAAUCCGUCCCGCGCU